GGAGAUAGCUCAGUGGUAGAGUGCCUGCCUAGUGUGCACAAGGUCCUGAGUUCAAUCCCCAGUAACUCCA
This 70-nucleotide transfer RNA is filed under the name Camelus ferus (Wild Bactrian camel). It matches the Rfam family "tRNA". From Rfam's summary of the family: Transfer RNA (tRNA) molecules are approximately 80 nucleotides in length. Lineage: Eukaryota; Metazoa; Chordata; Mammalia; Artiodactyla; Camelidae. The record is from Rfam by way of RNAcentral.